GCACCCAAUGCAAUAUAGGGAUUUUAUUUUCAUUUCUAUCAGCAUCUUUAUCUUUAGGAAAGAUAAGAUGUAAACUCGAUUCUAACAUGAACUCUAAAUAAGGAGGCAAUUCAAAUUUCAAAAUCCUCUGAAUUCGAAUCUCAUUUGAAGAAUCUCCUUUUUCCUUUAAACGUGCUCUCCCAUAUCAGAUCAUUUCACAAUUCACUGCCAUUACCACCACCACUAAGCGUGCCGACACCAAAUCAGCAACACCCACUCUAGCUCCACCCCUGCCACUCCGUCCAGUGAACCUUGGUGCAACUUCGUCCUCCGCAACCCCACCCUUUAUCAAAAAUCGAUACUAUGGAAGACAAAUGAUGUGUGGUCUUUUGAUUUCAUCGUGAAUGCAAAAAAGAUAAAUCUGGAAUUUCCCCCGAACCCCCCUUCUCUCUCUCUCUCUCUCUCUCUCUCUCUCUCUCGAUUUCAUCUGGAUUCAAUAUAAAGGCUCUUAUUAUUGAGCAUAAAUUAGGGAUUUUUGUUUUCUACUUGAGAUUUAUGGAAAAUGGGGCGGUAUUUGAUAAAUUCAUACUGAUUUCUUCUACAAAACACCAAUAUCUCAAAAGGUAAUGUAAAAAUUAAGGUAAUUGAUGCUCUGUUUUUUUGGUUUCAGGAUUUCAUUUCUUUUAUGUGCUCUCUUCCUGUGUGAUUCAUCUGGUUUAUAUAUCUGAAAGUAAGUACAUCACAUUCUUUUAUCUAAUCAGUUAAUGUUUUUAAUUUUUGGGUUUCAUUUAUUAAUGGUUCAAUUAACCUUUUUCCCAAUGAUUAACUCUGAUGAAGAAGCAAAUCUAGGUUUUUUUGAUAGAGCUUGGAUUACCCUGUUUGCCAGAGAUGGAAGAUAAAGACAAAGGGUGUAUAUCGAUUUUUUCCCAGUGCUUAAUACAUAACUUUGUGCUUUUUUUUCCAUUUCUUUUUAAUGAUUCUUUAAUAAGGUGUAGCUUACAUUGAAUUGUCAUUUGAAAUAACCAAGCAAGAGCUACCUAAACCAUUUAAUUCUUAUUAACAUUCAUGAUAUGUGGUGAUGAACACGUGUUUUGGUGUAGGUUGUAAUGGCCAAAUAUGCUAACCUGAUUGAACAAAGUCCAAUGGAAUUGACUAUCUGAAAUGGAGUAACUAAAAUAAAAAAUCCAAGUCUAAUGGCAGCAGUUGCCCAUAAAAUGGCUGAAUCAUUUGUAUCUAUAAUGACCAUUCACCGCAACUGAUAGAUUAAGUAUAUAUAUAUAUAUAUAUNNNNNNNNNNNNNNNNNNNNNNNNNNNNNNNNNNNNNNNNNNNNNNNNACCAGUAUGGUGUGGUAAAUUAAGUUUUGGAGUUGAUUUCUUAGAUGGUUGUGAUUUUUCACUGCUAAGUAAGUGCGAUCUCACUAAACCAUUAUUGUUUUAUAAUUGUUACAAUUAUGGGUGAAUGAUUAACAUAAAUUGUUAUUUAGUAACUUAACUUUUAUUUUUAUGUAAUUUUCACUAAAUAAUGAUAGAUUUAGGCAUUAAAUUGUUAUAAUAAUGGUUCAUUGAUGUGUGUUACAUUGCACUUUAAAAUGAAUGAAAGAAAAUUGAUAUUUCAUACAUUUAACCAUAUUUAAAUCAAUGAAAAUAUGAUAUUGUUUCUUGUGGUUAAUUUUUUUAUAUAUUUACAAGGUGUGUGCGCGUGACAUAUUCAAAUACUAUUUUAACCAGGGCCACCAUUAGAUAAUCGAUUUUGGUAAGUGUUAGUUGUUUAUUUUGUUAUUUAUUUAUUGAUUUUACAAGUACUAAAGGUGGGUUUUUGGUGGUUCGGAAGCAUGCCAACGAGCACUUUCCUUUCUUAGUAAUUUGUUGUAAUUCUACCUAAUUAUAGCAUUGUACUUUUAUAGAUUUUCUUACUAAUACAUUGUGCAAGUAAGUAAGAAAGUACAAUGAUGUAAUAAAUGAAAAAAAAUAACAAUGUUCUUUUAAUUUUUAUCAAAUUAAUUUAAAUUAGUUGCCAUACACAGACAAACAAAUUCACUCGUACACACACAAAGCUACAUAGAUAUGGUUGAGUGGUUUUGGCCUACUUCAAUUAAACUUGAAGUUCUAACUAGAAAAGAUUAUGAUAACAAGAUAACCUUCAAAAUCAAUAUUUAUAUGUUUCCUUUACUCUUUAUCUUUAUACAUUUGUAGUCAUUAUUGUUAAUUUUUUUGAUGUUUUGUUGGUGUUGGUCUAGGAUGUUGACGUGUCUGGACAGUGGAACUUGGAUGGUUGUUUCAUCGUCUGUGUAUAUGUGUGGUUAUUUAAAAACAAUCAUGGAGCCUUUGAAUUUGAGAAUUUCAAGAAAUUAUGUUGGAUUAUAAUGAGGAAAGUGAUGAAUUUUUUAUUUCAUUGUAAUUAAAAAGAAAAUAUUUUUUUGUUGGAUUGAAUAGGAUCGAUCAUUCUUGAAAGAACGUGAUUUUGUAGAGUUACGAUGUUAAUGGUGUGUUUAUAUUGUGAAAAUUGGAAUGGAA
RNAcentral lists this long non-coding RNA (2493 nucleotides) under Lactuca sativa (garden lettuce). RNAcentral's name for it is "long non-coding RNA (LSAT_LNC002497)". Lineage: Eukaryota; Viridiplantae; Streptophyta; Magnoliopsida; Asterales; Asteraceae. The record is from RNAcentral.